AACACCGCCUCUUGCAAGUAUAAGAGGUCCCGCCUGCCCUGUGACUAUUGUUUAACGGCCGCGGUACUCUGACCGUGCGAAGGUAGCGCAAUCACUUGUCUUUUAAAUGAAGACCUGUAUGAAUGGCAUAACGAGGGCUAAACUGUCUCCUUUUUCAGGUCAAUGAAAUUGAUCUCCCCGUGCAGAAGCGGGGAUAUAACCAUAAGACGAGAAGACCCUAUGGAGCUUUAGACAUAAAGCAGAACAUGUUAAAAACCCCCAUAUAAGGGGCCAAACUUAAUGAUUACUGCCCAACUGUCUUUGGUUGGGGCGACCACGGAGAAAAGUAAAACCCCCGUGCGGAAUAGGGGUACCCCUUAAAGCAAGAGUGACAACUCAAGCAAACAGAAAUUCUGACCGACAGCGAUCCGGCCAAGGCCGAUCAACGGACCGAGUUACCCUAGGGAUAACAGCGCAAUCCUCUUCUAGAGUCCAUAUCGACAAGAGGGUUUACGACCUCGAUGUUGGAUCAGGACAUCCUAAUGGCGCAG
RNAcentral lists this ribosomal RNA (530 nucleotides) under Apogonidae sp. FMNH119726. RNAcentral's name for it is "partial 16S ribosomal RNA". It matches the Rfam family "Bacterial large subunit ribosomal RNA", at positions 1812 to 2558 of the family's 2925-position model. The record is from RNAcentral. Lineage: Eukaryota; Metazoa; Chordata; Actinopteri; Kurtiformes; Apogonidae.